Molecule: RNA transcript, 1080 nt
Organism: Arabidopsis thaliana (thale cress)
Lineage: Eukaryota; Viridiplantae; Streptophyta; Magnoliopsida; Brassicales; Brassicaceae
Exons: 1
Source: RefSeq
GUUAUGCGUCCUAUCUUCCUCUUUAUAUUGAGACCUAUUUACUUGGGAAUCAAUAGGGUUUUGGGAGGGAUCUCGUGGUUGUAUGGGUUUAGAUACACUCUGAUGGUGCAAGGUAUACUUUGUUACUGGAGAGCGUUUCUAUACUUUGAGCGAUCAAGUUUGUGGGAAAAGUUUGUAGAGAAACAUGAGAGAAAUCACGAAAAAUCUUAUUUAAUCCCACUUUUGUGGACUAUGAAUGGGGUUUUCCUUAUCUUUAUCAUCCUUCUGGUUUUGGCUGCAACUCUUGCGGUAGAAGCCAAUAUGAGGAAAGUUUUUAAUAUUCAAGGACAGAUUGGAGUUAACUUUUAUUGUCUAGGUAAGAGUACCGGGGAAGUAUCAGUUUUAAGGUUAAUGGUUUAUAUAAGUGAUCCUGUUGCAGAUAAAUCGGUAGCUGAAAUGAAUGUUGCUUCAUGCUUUGUGUGUAGUUAUCUAAGCGUUGUUAGUCUUAUGAAACUUUGCUAUGUGGGGAAUGAUUUAGGGUUCAUAGAUGGGAUAGCUUCUGUAGCCUUAUCUAUAUUCACCCAUUAUUGUGAAGCCUAUCAUUGUAGAGUACUUGGGAUCUUCAUAUGUUGGGGUAUGAUAUUGCUAAAGAACAUUUUAUUCACCGCUUGCUGUCGACGUUAUCUGCAACAUGGUCACUUAUAUAAACCAUUAACCUUAAAAUUGAUACUUCCCCGGUACUCUUACCUAGACAAUAAAAGUUAACUCCAAUCUGUCCUUGAAUAUUAAAAACUUUCCUCAUAUUGGCUUCUCCCGCAAGAGUUGCAGCAAAAACCAGAAGGAUGAUAAAGAUAAGGAAAACCCCAUUCAUAGUCCACAAAAGUGGGAUUAAAUAAGAUUUUUCGUGAUUUCUCUCAUGUUUCUCUACAAACUUUUCCCACAAACUUGAUCUCUCAAAGUAUAGAAACGUUCUCCAGUAACAAAGUAUACCUUGCACCAUCAGAGUGUAUCUAAACCCAUACAACCACGAGAUCCCUCCCAAAACCCUAUUGAUACCCAAGUAAAUAGGUCUCAAUAUAAAGAGGAAGAUAGGACGCAUAA